UACGGAGGAUGCAAGCGUUAUCCGGAAUGAUUGGGCGUAAAGCGUCCGCAGGUGGCAAUGUAAGUCUGCUGUCAAAGCGUCUGGCUCAACCAGAUAAAGGCAGUGGAAACUACAUAGCUAGAGUAAGGUAGGGGUAGAGGGAAUUCCUGGUGUAGCGGUGAAAUGCGUAGAGAUCAGGAAGAACACCGGUGGCGAAAGCGCUCUGCUGGACCUUAACUGACACUGAGGGACGAAAGCUAGGGGAGCGAAAGGG
RNAcentral lists this ribosomal RNA (253 nucleotides) under uncultured bacterium. Its description in RNAcentral is "partial 16S ribosomal RNA". It matches the Rfam family "Bacterial small subunit ribosomal RNA", at positions 524 to 776 of the family's 1533-position model. The record is from RNAcentral.